This 526-nucleotide long non-coding RNA is filed under the name Androctonus crassicauda. The record is from RNAcentral. Lineage: Eukaryota; Metazoa; Arthropoda; Arachnida; Scorpiones; Buthidae.
ACCAAGGGAUCCAAUGACUCAAGGUCGUGGUCCUGAUUAAAGUAAACUAGCGUAAUUUUAUUUUGACAGUUUUCUACACCAAUGCAAUGCAAGAAAUAGACUUUCCUUUGUCAAAUGAAGAUUUAGUUUUGUUUUCAAUCUUCUUUUCAGUUUGAUAUGAUUGGAAAAUUUAAAGAAAGUAGGAGGAGUAAGAGAAGAAAGAAAAGAUUUUUAACUGUUUGCACAGAGUUUUGCUGUGGCUGUAGCUUUCCUCUUAUGGCUUUGGCUUAGCUCAACAUUACUUCACUUCUCCUCUUCAACUAUAUCCAUGGUCAGAUGAAUGUUAUCACCUUUGUGUUCAUCGUUAUUUUUGUCUUCAGUUCAAGUAAACUAAAGGAAAUAUUAUUUGGGAAAGAAACUAAAGAAAACACAAAGAAAAGAAGAAGAAAAUUCUCUCUCAUGGAUAUGUUUAUGGGUGUAUCUGUCAAACCCCCAUUAUGGUUAAGAUUAGGUUUUAACUUUAUACUUUUGUUAAUUUUAUCUGUGC